UCAGUGGCCACCCUGAGAUCUGGCUACACGGCCUUGCCAGGUCUCUACGGAAAGUUAUUUAGGGCCUUUGUGUGCAGGGGAACCUGAGAAAACUGAGUGCAGUCUGAAGCCUGAAGUGUGACAGGCCCUGCUCUCCUUUGUCUGAUGGAAGACCCUAAAAAUAAUACAGAGGCAACAAGUGUUAACUCAGGCAUUAGUUGUCUUUCCUGGAACAGAUAACAUCCCUUUUAACGCCAAGAGAAAGCUUGGGAGGAAGACAUACUCUACCAUACAGUCCUUUCCUCUUUUCGUGGAUGGCAAAAUGAUACAUCACUUCCCGAAGCUUGUGUUAGAAGAUGCCCCUUCACUGGUGUGAGAUGCUUAAAAGGACAAUGAUUUGUGCAGGGAACUAACCCCUUGUGCUACGUAUCCUUUUGCUCUAUUUUACUGAUAUGACAAUUGGAGCAGGAUAGUUUAUGUGGCAAAUUUUCCUAGCAUUUAUAUGCACUGCUUACUACAUUCACAUUUUAGUUUACAAAUCUUGACAAAGACAACCGAAUAGGAGUUUUACAUGAAUGUGCUUAUUUUGUAUUGAAGUAUGACACAUAUGCAGAGAAGUGACAUUGUCGUAAGCAAAUGGCUUGAUGGCUUUUACAAACUGAACAUAUAUGUAACCAACAUUGAGAUCUAGAAACAGCUCUUUUUCAGCCCCUUCUUCCUGAAACUCUCCUCUUCUUCCGCCUUGACCAAGUAUAAUCUCUCUCCUGACUUCUAGCAGAAUAGGUUAGUUUUGCUUAAUUUUAUUUUUAUACGAGGUGAAUCUCUAGUGUCUGGCUUCUUUUUCUGAAAGCUGUGUUUAUGGGAUUCAUCAAUAUCAUUGUAUGUGGUUAUAGAUUCCCAUUGCUG
This 885-nucleotide long non-coding RNA is filed under the name Macaca mulatta (Rhesus monkey). Its description in RNAcentral is "lncRNA (ENSMMUG00000059637.1)". The record is from RNAcentral. Lineage: Eukaryota; Metazoa; Chordata; Mammalia; Primates; Cercopithecidae.